RNAcentral lists this long non-coding RNA (11225 nucleotides) under Homo sapiens (human). RNAcentral's name for it is "HSALNT0072343". Lineage: Eukaryota; Metazoa; Chordata; Mammalia; Primates; Hominidae. The record is from RNAcentral.
UGGAAAGUGCUAAGUAGUAACUAGUAUUACUAAUGCCAAGCAGGGAAGGGGUUAGUGGGUGGGAACCCUCCUCAUUACUUCUACCAAGUGUUAUUGUACCCAUCUAGGGUAUAAGAACUGUGGAAACCCAGGUUUACACUGUAGAGUUACUCUAAUUAUAGCAUAUCAUGGAGUUAAUUGUGGACCCCAUUUAACAACAGCUUUGUCACAGGGCAGUUUUGCAAGAGUGAGACUGAACUCUAUUGUUUUCAUCCUCAUUAUCUUAAAUGAACAGUUUGCAAUAUGUGAUAAUACCACUGGCAUCUGUUUCUGAAUGUUUCCACUCACAAGACCCAAAACAAUUCCACAAAGAAAAGACUUCUUUCGGUUGUUCUGGAGUCUUUCUAAAACAGCUUCUACUGGGAGAUUAAUUAUAGAAGCCACAGAAUUUCCUGAAAAUGGUAAAACAUUUUAAAGAAAUACUAAGACACUACAUGAUAAAUGACUUGACUCUUUAUUGCCUAACAAUCCAAAAGAAAAAUGCAUGUGUGAAACAGAACAGGAUGUAAUGGAAAUCUAUGUAGAUGGACUAUAAAAUGGAUUUUAUUAACUAUUUACAGUGGCUGUGUAAAUUGUUUUUGUCUGUGCUUGAGAAAGUUCUGUCAUUGUUUUUAGGUCUUUCUUGUUGCUUAUCUUUCAGAUUUGCAGUAUAAAGGUGAGUGGCUCCAAAUGUCAGUGGUUGUCAGCUAGAUCUUCAGCACAUGGAAUUUUGAAGACCAAGGAGAGAUAGGAGAACGGGUCAUCAUAGGGGUUGAUGGGCCAGCUUUAUUCUAAAUGACUGAAGACUUCUGUUCUUUUCAACAAACACAGUCCUCCAAUUAGGAGCUGCAAAUAAGAUUAUAUGCCCUGAAUAAGUCUGAAAAGGUCCUUUUAUAAUUAGAAAGUUUGUGUGUGGGAAGUGGAAGCAGCAUGAAGUGCUCACUGUGGCUUUAUUAAAAGAGUGACAUGAAGAUUUUCCCAAAUCCUCAUCUGAGUGCUCGAAAAUGAUAAAAUAAAAAUUAUGAAAAACUGUAUGCAUAUUCCAUUUCUUCUUUUUCUUUCUGAAAGCUUUCACAUUUAUGCUAUAGAAACAAGUCAAUGGUUUUUUAAAAUUUUAUCAGGCAUAUUCGAAACAGACUGUCAUUUGAUAGUGUGCAGAUUGUUAAAAUACAAGUGAAAAUGAUUUCAAUGAAGGGAUGAAGUUUAAUACAGUGCAUACUUUAUAUUUUCAUUUUAACACUUUUAUGAUCGUCACUCCAUCACUACAGUGACAUAAUAUUUUGUUAAAUAUGGUUGGACUUAACUUAUAUUAAGCUUCCUGGUCUGUGGACACACAGGACUGAUUGUGCUCAGCUACUCUUCUAGACCAAUCAGACUUUAGUAUGUAAAUGGACAUUUCCUGGAUGAACCAAUGACCGUCCCCCACGCCCCCCCGCCCUCCCCCCCCCCCCCCCACACACAUUGCACUCGGGACCCAGUUGCAUACAGCCCUUACAGCUUCACAGAAGGAAGAUGCCUGCUGGACACAGCUUCCUAUGAGCUAAGACGGGAAGUCAAGGCUGGCAGGAAAGAGGAAGAGCUGAGAGGCUAGAUAAUAAUAGGAAAAUAACAGUUCCAGGCACUGUGGACAGAACCACAGCCAAUCUGCGGCUCAGCCACUUCCACAAAUAUAUUUUGAGUGCUUACAAUGUGCCAGACACUGUCCGGGGGCUGGAGAUACAGCAGUGGACAGAGACAGAUAUCCCUGUCCUCAGAGAGCUGACAUUCUAGACUUUCUGAACUAAUGUGACUCCAGUGGAUUGUUAUUUUUUGUAGUUUAAGUUAUGAAAAAAUUAUUAUUCGGAGAUAAAAUUAUUUAACAAUAUUGAAUGUGCUCUUUCCAGCUGCAUUCUCACUACCCCACUCCUAUCCCAUCCAGAAAUUUAGACACACUCCUCCCUGUAGGGAUCACCAUGCCACACAGACUAUAAAUGUGUUCAGCUGCUGGGCUGUUCUACUGAGAGGACUUUUAUGUCUAGAUGGAACCAUAGGCUUUACAUCAUAGCAAGGUGUAAUUUUGACAAAUGGUUCUAAGUCCUGGUUGCACAAUAGAGUCAUCUGGGGAAGCUUUAUAAAAACACCUAAUGCCUAUGAUCCCUUGAAUAUCACACCGACAGCACAGGAAACAGAAGCAAAAGUAGACAAAUGGGGCUGCAUUGAACUAAAAAGUUUCUGCACAGCAAAGGAAACAAUCAGCAGAGUGAAAAGGCAACCUGUGGAAUAGGAGAGAAUAUUUGCAAACCAUAUAUCUGAUAAAGGGUUAGUAUGGAAAAUAUGUAAGAAACUCAUACAAUUUAAUAGCAAAAAAAUCAAUAGCCUAAUUUAAAAAUGGGAAAAUGACUUGAAUAGACAUUUCUCCAAAGAAAAUAUACAAAUGGUCAACAGGUGUAUGAAAAGAUGCUCAACAUCAGUAAUCAUCAAAGAAAUGUAAAUCAAAACCACAAUAAAAUACCAUCUGACACCGGUGUGGACAGCCACUAUUAAAAGAAAAAAAAGGAAAAGAAGAAACAGAAGGAAAGAAAAGAAUAAAUGUUGGUUAGGAAAUGGAGAAACUGGAACCCUUGUACGCUGUUGGUGGGGAAAAAAGAUAGAGCAGCUGCUAUGAAAAACGGUAUGGAGAUUCCUCAAAAAAUUAAAAAUAGAGCUACCAUAUGAUCCAGCAUUCCCAUGUCUGGGUAUUUAUGCAAAAGAACUGAAAUCAGGAUCUUGAAGAGAUAUUUGUCCUCCAUGUUUCUUGCAACACUACUCACAAUAGCUAAGAGGUAGAAACAACCUAAAGGCCCACCAACUGAUGAAUGGAUAAAGAAAAUGUGGUGGGUGCAUCCAGUGGAAUAUUAUUCAGCUUUAAAACAGAAGGAAAUCCUGACACAUGCUACAACACAGAAGAACUUGAGGACAUUAUGAUAUGUGAAAUAGGCCAGUCACAGAAAGACAAAUACUGUAUGAUUCCACGUGUAUGAGGUAUCUACUAAAGCAGUCAAACUCAUGGAAGGAGAAAUGUGAAUGGUGAUACCAAGGACUAGUGAGGGAGAGAAAUGGGGAGCUGCUGUUCAAUGAUUAUAGACUUUCAGUCAUGCAAGAUGAAAAAUUUCUAGAGAUUUGCACAACAGAUAUGUAUAACAAUGGGCAUGUAGUUAACAAUACUGUACUGUACACUUAAAAAUUUGUUGAGAGGGUAUAUUUCAUGUAUGUUGUUGGGUUUUUUUUUACCAUAAUAAAAACAAAAAUGCAAACAAAAAACACCUAAUGCCUGGCUCCGCUCUAACCAAUUAAAUCAGAAUUUCUGGGGGUUGGGUGUUGGGCAUCCCUUUGUUGUUUUUGAUGAUGUUGUUUUUCCUCUUUUAGCUGUGCACAUUAGAGAGCUUCAUGCUAAAAAGUCUCCAUAAAACAUUAUCAUCUUCUUCUUCUUUUUUUUUUUUUUUUCUUGAGACAGGGUCUCACUCUGUCACCCAGGCUGGACUGCAGGGACCCAUUUUGGCUCACUGCGGCCUCAACCUCCUGGACUCAAGCAAUCCUCCCACCUCAGCCUCCCAAGCAGCUGGGACCACAGGCGUGCGCCACAAUGCCUGGCUAAAAUAGUUUUGUUUUUUUGUUUGUAGAUAUGGGGUUUCUCCAUGUUUCCCAGGCUGGUCUCGAACUCCUGAGCUCAAGCAAUAUGCCGAUGUCAGCCUCCCAAAGUUCUGGAUUACAGGCAUGAGCCACUAUCUUCUUUUUUUAAAAUAUCCAUCCCUCAUCUCAUAUUUGCUCUCUAACAAUAACCGUAAUACUUAAUAAUAUCUGUUUUAAUCAAUGGCACCAUUGUCCUUCAAGUUACCUGCCUGGAAAUGUGAAUGUCAUACUAAAUUCACUCCAACUGCCAGUCAUCAAUAGUGUUAAUUCUACAUCUUAAAGAUCUAUCCAUCCCCACCACUCCAACCACAUCUUUAGGAUGGGUUUUUCUCACUUCUAAAAUUGAUAUCUAGUUAUGUUGCUCCACCUUUGAAAAUUUUCACCAAAUAGCCUAACUUUCAGAAUGAACUUUAAACUAAAGCUAAUAUGCCUCUUUUGCCUACUCUAUCCACUGAAAUAGAAGGAAGGAGGGUCAACUGAAAAGAGGUAAGCUUUACAUAGUAUAUUUUAUAUGCCUAUCAUUCAUAUUUCUUUCUGAGUACUAAUAAAAUUAGGGUUUGGGUUUUGACUGGACCUUGCUAUUCUAAACGUUGCAAUUGAUUUCUAUAUGGCUAUGCAUGUCCUGCCCAAGUCUACAUGAUCUUACCCUUGCCAACUGCUCAGCCUCAUCUUCACAUGCAAGCAAUGCUCCAUCAUUUCCAGUCUCCUCUCAACUCCUCAGAAGAGCCAUCUCUCUGCCAUUUGAACAUUGGCACAGGUUGUUCAAACUCUCUACACCUUCCUUCUUCCUGCCCUCCACCAGCUCACUAAUCCUUCUCCAGACUUCAAGAUCAGCUUAUAUAUUACAUUGGCUUAGGGUUGGGAACAGGGAUGGUCACAGCAACAGAUGAUAUAACAAAGAUGGCUGGCAGUGCCCAAGGACUUUUGAGCCUAUGCACCUUCAUUUCCAAAGCUGCCUUCUUGAAGCCAUCCUGGCCAGCUUCAUGGAGUUUACAGGACCCACUCAUCCCUUUGUCUUUUACAGGUUACCCAAAAAGAGAUGCUCUAGAGGAAAUGGCACAAAGCCAUAGAAUUUUAAUUGCAGUUUGUAAUUACAAAUGUGAGUAAGUCAAAGUUUGCAAAAUCUGUAAAACUGAGAAAUUACUAUGAAUUUUGCAACAAUGACAAGAAUAGUUGUGAGUAGGUCCACACAAACAGAUGAGUUAUAUAAAUACAGGAAGCAACUUUUCUCACCCAUCCCCAACCACUACAACCAAAGCCAAAAUAUACCUGUUGGCUACCACCCACUAAAAUAUGAGCGGGAGAGGUCAAAUGAGAAGAGGUGAGAUUUAUAUAGCAUAUUUUGUAUCCUUAUAAUUAAUAUUUCUUUCUGAGUACUAACGAAAUUGGAAUUUGAGUUUUAAGUGGGCCUUGCUGUUCUAAACGGUGCAAUUGAUUUGGAUAUUGCUAUUGAUUUGCUUUUUAGGCUAUUAUCUACUUGACAACCAGGAAGAAUGAUCUUCUUUGGAUCUGACCUGCCAGAUUUGAUUCCCAAGGAAUGAUGAACAUCCAUUAGAGGGUCCAUAUAUAUUAAUGAGCAAGAGGGUGUUGAACUGCAUACUCUGUAAUUAUAUCCACAAUUGCUUCCACAUUUAAAACAAGUUUUGAUAUUAUUUGCAUGCAUCAUUGAAAACCAAUUAUUUAUACAUGUUGCAAUUUUGACUCAUAAAAAAUGAACAUUUGUUUUAUACUUUUUGAGUAGAGAAAAAUGCAAUGAAUAGAAUAUAAUCGGUUCCCUAAAAUUAUCAGUUACCAAAAAUAUUCCUUUUUGAUCCAAGAAAGUCUGUGAAAUAUGAAUGUUUGCAUUAUUUAGUUUGUUUACUUGCUUGUAGUUAUUCUUGUUAAAAUUUAAAAGUCCAAUUAUUUGACUAUGACAUAGGAAUUAGGUCCAAAUAAUUAGAGAAGCAUUUGCCCAUUGGUAAUUAAAGUUUCUGGGUGAAAGGAAUUUAAAAGGUUAUAUAAGAGAUAAUAAGUAAUAUUAUCUUCUAGUGAGUAACUAUUCCCUUAGUUCUUUGGAAAGGGAAUAUUAACUCUUCCAGUCUGUAUUUUUGUUCAUUUUAUUCAAAUGUGACUUGGAAGGAAGGGUUAGUUGUAGUUAAUAGAUACCAGCUACAUGCCAGACACCGCCAUGAAAACUCGGAACACAAAGACAAAUAAGAAAAACCUCCUUCCUCAAGAAACUUACAUUUCAGUGGGCUGCAGUGCCUAGAAGUUUAAAAUAUCACAUAUCGGAAGUUAUCUUCUAUCCAAUAUGCUCUCCACCAACACUGAGGAAAGCCAAGACCUCGCAUUAAGUGUAGGAACAAUCAUAAAUAUUUCAGGGGUUACAAAAAUGUCUGCAGGCUCAUAAAAUUUUGGAACUUAUGGGGAAAAAUUAAAUUUACUGAUGGGAACACACAGACGAAGCCAAGCUUGCUCAUUUCUUCUGCAGCCCCUUCACAUAUGGGAGACAGGGUAGUAGGGAGGUUUGGAGAAGUUGAGUGCACUGGUCCUGGAGUUAGGCUAGAAGGAGUCUUUGCUGUCUUUUAGGUUAUGACUUUAAGCAUCUUAUGUAGCAACCCCUUGCCUCAGUUUAUACUGCUGCAAAAUGGAAGUAAUAAUUGUGCUCACCCCAUAGGACUGUUACAAAGAUUAAUUGAUAACAGGGUCAAAAGGGGCUUAAUCAACACAAGCUACUACUGUAAUGAUCACAUUCACUUCUCUCUCAACCCAAAUUCUUCAGUAUCAUUGGAAUUCAGUUCUAAAUCCAUCUCAAUUAGGUCCCUUUAAGAUGAACUCUAGACAUUUCCUGAGGCUGGCUUGAAAAGGAGAGGGAGUAGGGGAUGAAUUCUUUCUCACUCUCUGCCAUCAGAUUUGAAACGACUUCAUUAGUGGCCCAUUUUUUUUUUUCAUACUGCAAGCUUUAGGGGCUUUGAAGAAAUCCACCUAAAAAUGCAGAUUCCCCUGGGAAUGGCCUAUUCCAGUUUUAAGGAGAACAGAGGUGUCAGGUGUAAGGCUCUGUGUUGAGGGGAAGCGAGGGCUUUGCAGCUGCCUUUGUAAACACUAUAUUAGGAAGGAAAAAAAAAUCCUGGCUCAAUGCCACCUUUUCCCCCCGUGCCCUGAGAACUGUUGCAGGUCCUUCCCCAAAGCCACAUCUGUGAAAGACAGAACUGGUAGGAACAAUCCUCAAUAUACAAGUGCCUAGGAAGCCAGGCAGAUGACGAGCUCAGGGGAGCUGGGAGAAGAGUGGCCAAUCCAUCCUUCUAUUGGCAGAAACUUCAAGGAAGCAGAGGUUUGUACAGGUCAGAGUAUUUUUUUCACUAUGUCUUAGAUUGCUGAGGUGAGGAGAAUGCAGCACAGUGAAGCCAACACAGAAUCAAGUGGCCCUUCUCUUCCAUCACUGAUGUUCUGAAUCACAUUGCUGUGGUGGGUAAUAUUGCUAUCUGCAGGAGAAGAAAUGAAAUAGAGAUGGUGAUGCUUUGUCUGAUUAAACCAGCGCUGCCCAGUAGAAAGAGUGAGAGGCACAAACAUGAAGGUGUCAUUUUAAACUUUCUAGUAACCCAUAUCUAAAAAGAGGGGAAAGAAAGAGAAAUUUAUUUUAACAAAGUGUUUUCUUUAACCCAACAUAUCCAGUACACCAUCAUUUCAUCAAGUAACCAAUUAAAAAAUUACUAAUAAGAGCUUUUACAUUCCUUUUUCUAAGGCUUCAAAAUCUGGUGUGGAUUUUAUACCUAUAGCACAUUGCAAUUUGGACCAGGCACAUUUCAGGGCUCAACAGCUUCAUGUGCCUAGUGGCUAUCAUUGUGGACAGAAAAGGACUAAACUCUUCUCUAAAAAUUGACAUAAAGCAGAAACUUCCUGGUCGUUAGACCAAUAUAGUGCUCUCCAUUUGAGUGCAUUGGAAUGAUCUGAGAUUCAAUGUAUAAAUUACAGGCUUUUCAGCCCCAAGCUCUGAACUGUCACUUGAUCUCUCUUCUGCCAGCAGGAGGCAGUGGUCACUCGAAUCCCAAAUCCCUGGUCCUCAGCCUCACCUAAGAAGUAUCUUUUUGGUCAAUUUCUUUCCAUUUCUUAGAGUUUCCAAGAAGUUCAGUGUUACAGCUUUCUGGGGUACUCACACCUACUUUUAAGAGUUUCCAGGUCUUUCUGACAAAAGGCCAUGCAGGUAAGCGUCAAGAGCUGGAGAAGUGGCAGAUGUACUUUGUAAACAAUGCAGCAAACGCAGAUACUGGGUUGCUUAAGCAAGUCCUUGCAAAGGGGCAGGAAUGGGCAGAUGAGGCCUUCACCCACCACCCCCACAAGGCUUUGCUUUCCUUCCUUUCCAAAUGAUCCCACCCUGUCCUCAGGAAUCCAUAAUCCAUGAUGAAUACCUUUCUCCUGAUCACUCUCUCAGUCUCAGAAUGGUCCCUUUGAGGCCAUCUGCUCUGGACUCUGGCUUACUCUACAGCUCACAAAGAGGUUCCUCACUUUCCUGUACCUCCAGAGAUCCUACUGGUCUCAGUCCAAAGGUCUCCACCUUAGAGAAAUCUUUUAUUGACCCACAACUAGAAUAGGUGUAAGUGAGAUAAGUGUGCAUUCUUCUUAGCUCACAGUGGUGUUCUCUUAAUUGUGGCACCUCCCACAUUUUAUAAUUAUGGUCAACCUGGGUGAUUGUCUAAUUGUACUAUAAUCUAUUCCCCCAUAUGCUUCAUGUAAACAGAAAAUGGAUCUGUUUUGCCCACGUUUAAUAGAGAUAAUAUGAAAUGCUAGCCCCUCUUCCCCACCCUGUCGAGCCCUAUUGUGAGUUUGUUUAUUUAUUCAAGAUAGGGUCUUGCUCUGUCACCCAGGCUAGAGUGCAAUGGCACCAUCACGGUUCCCUGCAGCCUUAACCUCCUUGGCUCAAACAAUUCUCCCGCCUCAGCCUCCCAAGUAGCUGAGACUACAGGUGUGUGCCACCAAGCCUGGCUACUUUUUUAAUUUUUUGUAGAGACAGGGCCUUGGUAUGUUGCCCACGCUGGUCUCAAAUUCCUGGGCUCAAGUGAUUCUGCCACCUCGGCCUCCCAAAGUGCUGGAAUUACAGGCAUGAGCUACCUGGCCGGGCCCUUAAUGUGAGUUUAAUACGAUCCUAAACUCAGAGAAACUCAGUCCCCACACCCAACUAAAUAUUCAUUCAACUGUUUUUGUUCUCCUUGUUUUAUUUUUGUAUUUAAAUGUACACGGUUCUCCUCUGGUUCCUAUUUACAACCCUUCAUGAAGGUGCCUCACCAGGUGGGCAUAGCCUCCUUUGCACUGUAUUCCUUUCCCCUCCUCCAGAACCAAGGUUUUCCCCUGCUCCACCAAACCCUGUUGAACAUCUGCCUCCCAUCUCCCAGCUUCUCUGAUAUUUCAGAGACCCCUAGAAUUUUGCCUCUGUCCUAUGGAUAGACCAAGAACUUUCUGUGUUUCUAUUGCUAUGCUAUAUUCUUGAAGGGAAGGAAGACAUACCCUGAAAUCUCUACCUUUUAUUGUGAACUACAACUGCAAAAUCACAUCAAAAGGCUUAAGGGAAAAUAUUGGCAAAUUGAAAAGGCAGACUAGGAGCAGCUUGAUGUCCAGGCAACUACAAGUUCCUGUAUUUCAUAAGUCAACCUGGGCUUCAUUUUUUACUAUUUCUGCCUGUAGCUAUGACUUGUUUCAAAAUCCUACCUGAUACAUUAAGAAUUUAGAAAGCCUCAUGCAGGCUUCCUAUUUUCCACAAAUGACAAUAAACUAAAAGUCCUCCAGAGACAUUUUGGUCAUAGAAUAUGAUUGCAAGAUGGUGAUUUAGCCUACUGCCAGCAAAGAGCUCUUGUCUGGAAAGAACUAGUGCCAGAGACAGUGGCUUUGGAUGAUGGUCCUUCUGGUUUCAAUGAGCACCAUGAGUCACUGAAAAUAAAUGUCCGGGCAGCUUAAGGGGUCUCUGAUUGCAUGUAGAUCCAUGCCUGUGAAUGGUAGUACUAGAAAGGAUGAAAUGUGUGUGAGCUACAUAACAAAAGGAGGUUGGGCUGGAUGACUAGGAUGUGUUCUUGGAGAGAAGAGCUGAAGGUUUUCUUCUGUGGUUUUCAGAGAAAACAACAACAAAAUGAAACUCAGAGUGACCUGCACAGACCUAUUGAUAACAGCCAGUUCUCAUAGAGCAUUUUCACAUCAAUCUUCUGAGACAGACAGGGUAAGAGCAUUAUAGCCAUUGCAGAGGUGGGGAAACUGAGUCUAAGACCUGUUGAGGGACUAAGAGUAGCAAACAAAUAUGUAUUCAAAACUUGAAUACAUAUUUUCCUACUUCAUUCACUAUUCAAUAUUAUCUUAUCUCUCAGUUUUACUUUUACAUUUAAAGCCAAAAUUUAUUAACCUAGAAUGACUAUAUGUAGAGGACUGCUUACACAAACAAAAGGUGGUGUCUUUGAAUUGCAUGGUGCAAGUGACUUGAAAAUUACCUUAACCUACUAAUAUGAUUAGAAAGUCUGCUGAAGGGUGUGGUAAUCAUGUGCAUUUCUACAGAUUAUGACACUGUUUUUACACACGUACAAUGAUGUAGAACAGGAAACCAUAAUUACUUGUAACCAGAUUUAGAAAAAUUUUUUUGUUGUCUUGAUAUUUUUUCAGCAUGUUGUCCUAGAAAGCAGGCAAAGGAGGAAAAAGAGAAUGUGUACAAAGAAAAUACCCUUUUUCAUACAGAAAAAAGGGCAGCAUUAUAAGGAAGAACCAUGUACACACACACACACACACACACACAUACAAAUACACACACAUAUAUCUAUUCUUCUUUUCCUCUAGGUCUUAAUAAAAACACAAAAGCAGCUUCUGCAAACAGUAGACAGUUCCAGGGGAAAAGCCAGUGCCCAGAGCACUCCCAACCCAAUCAAUCAAACCCUAGACCUAGAGCACAAUUGAGCCAUUUUCUUUUUAUUACAACAAUUCAAAAAUUUGGAAGAGAAAAACCCAUCUGUAAUCUUACCAGCCCAACAUGACUAUUUCCAGUUUUGCAAAUUUCCUUCUAGUUUUUCUUAAUAUGAGUAUUUUUUCUAAAGUCCCUAACAUGUAGUCAUUUUUUUUGAGUUGCAUCAAAUACUUCAGAAGAAAAUAAAUUUAAAUGCCAUCACACUCUUGAAUUUGUGGUGGCCAUGUUAUAUUUACUUUGGAAGUUAUCUCAGAACUUUUUUUUUGAGACAGAGUCUCACUCUUUCACCCAGGCUGGAGUGCAGUGACACAAUCUCGGCUCACUGCAACCACCGCCUUCUGGGUUCAAGCGAUUAUCAUGCCUCAGUGUCCUGAGUAGCUGGGAUUACAGGCAUGCACCACCACACCCAGUUAGCUUUUUGUAUUUUUAGUACAGACAGGGUUUCACCAUGUCGGCCAGGCUAGUCUCGAACUCCUGGCCUUAAAUGCCCACCUCUGCCUCCCAAAGUGCUAGGAUUACAGGUGUGUGCCACCAUGCCCAGCCUAUUUUAGAACUUUAUCUCUUAGGCAAAAGUUUCUGCUUCAGAAGUUGUACUCAAGUUAAAGAGAAUUUAUUAAUGUUGCCCUCAGAUCACACAUGGAGCCCAGCG